RNAcentral lists this ribosomal RNA (253 nucleotides) under uncultured bacterium. RNAcentral describes it as "partial 16S ribosomal RNA". It matches the Rfam family "Bacterial small subunit ribosomal RNA", at positions 524 to 776 of the family's 1533-position model. The record is from RNAcentral.
UACGAAGGGGGCUAGCGUUGCUCGGAAUCACUGGGCGUAAAGCGCACGUAGGCGGCAUCUUAAGUCAGGGGUGAAAUCCUGGAGCUCAACUCCAGAACUGCCUUUGAUACUGAGGAUCUUGAGUUCGGGAGAGGUGAGUGGAACUGCGAGUGUAGAGGUGAAAUUCGUAGAUAUUCGCAAGAACACCAGUGGCGAAGGCGGCUCACUGGCCCGAUACUGACGCUGAGGCACGAAAGCGUGGGGAGCAAACAGG